This is a non-coding RNA of Nemania abortiva, 99 nucleotides long. NCBI's taxonomy places the organism in Eukaryota, Fungi, Ascomycota, Sordariomycetes, Xylariales, Xylariaceae. The record is from the annotation of a GenBank genome assembly.
GGGCGAAUGGUCUAGGGGUAUGAUACUCCCUUCGCAUGUCUGAGAUUUCUCAGAACCAGUGACUGGGAGGGGUCCGGGGUUCAAUUCCCCGUUCGUCCA